ACCAGUCUGUCCUCUGUCUCUGAAGAAGCUGAGUCCUGGAGCCUGUGGUGUUAAUUCCAAAGAAUAUGAAAGGACUGGUGAAUUACAUCUGUGUUUUGAAUCUGUUAAGAUCCAGUAUGAGAGAACAGCAUCAUACUGAGGAAACAGAAGUGAAAUUAUUCAGCCUCUCUAGAGCUAAGAGAGUUGAGAUUUUUGUCUCUGGUGCUUCAGCAGCCCUCCCAGUGGGGGAAACGUAUACAGAGCUCUGCUCCUGCAAACACCACAGCACCCCUGGCAAAGACAUACACAAGCACCUGAAGAAUCAGGACUAGACUUUACUAAGCUCAAACACACAGAGUCACAUGAGUGAGCCAGAGGAAUAAAUAAUGAAAUGAAUAUGAAGUGUUUGUCAAAGGAAAAAAAUUCUCUUUGGGCUUAUAUUCCUGCUUUUUGUUU
Molecule: long non-coding RNA, 435 nt
Organism: Pogoniulus pusillus (Red-fronted tinkerbird)
Lineage: Eukaryota; Metazoa; Chordata; Aves; Piciformes; Lybiidae
Exons: 3
Source: RefSeq, a predicted model, not a curated record